This 52-nucleotide microRNA precursor is filed under the name Ailuropoda melanoleuca (giant panda). RNAcentral's name for it is "mir-1302 microRNA precursor family". It matches the Rfam family "mir-1302 microRNA precursor family". Lineage: Eukaryota; Metazoa; Chordata; Mammalia; Carnivora; Ursidae. The record is from Rfam by way of RNAcentral.
UUUUUAGUAUAAGUAUGGCCCAUGCAAUAUUUAGGACAUAUUUGUACUAAAA